Gavialis gangeticus (Gharial) is the source of this 784-nucleotide long non-coding RNA. RefSeq lists it as uncharacterized. The transcript is spliced from 3 exons. The record is from RefSeq and is a predicted model, not a curated record. Lineage: Eukaryota; Metazoa; Chordata; Crocodylia; Gavialidae.
GAGUUUAGAUGCACUGUGCUUGUUUGGACGAUCAAUAGCACCACCUCCAAGGACAGACAACUCUGCCGGCGGUCCUCACAGCGAUGAGCCCAAUAUUGAAGCUGGACAGGAAUAAGAUAUCCCACUGAAGUCUGCACAGUAGGAGCACAACCAUACCUAUAGAAGUGCAAUCACACAGCAAUGCAAGUAGGUGUCACAAUUGCUUUGAAAAAAGUCAGCAAGCCAUCAUCUCUCCCCAAGCUAAUAUAUAUAAUAAAUCUCUAAAUCCGGAUCACAUCUUGUGCCACUGUAUAAAAGAAGACCACAGAGCACUAUUAAAUCUACAGACUCUAAUUAUUAAAAGAGAAUUUUGUUGGACAUAUGUGAGUUUGCUGGUAUAGUAUAGUUUCCAAAAUGUAUGUGUGACUUUUGAAAACAGAUCUGUUUUUCUCAGGAUAUCUUGAAUUGAUCACUUCAUUGCCACGGUAUAUAUUCUAUAGGUGUGAUAGGAUUUAUUGUAAAAUUUAUUUGUAAAAGAUGUAUACAGUAGAGAUAAUAAAGAUGUGAUUGGAGAACUUGAGUACUUACAAAGUGGAAACAAAUUUGAUAUUUAUUUUUGUAAUGAUAUAAAAGCUUCUAGUAAUUUAUGCAAGUUGUAUUGCAAUGGAAUCUGAACUUUUUGUAAAUAAAUUUUGCUUGGUUUUUAUUUGAAACGUUGAUGGUUAUACAAUCUUUGGUUGUUUAACGAGAAUUCUUUACUAAUUUAUAUCUUUAAUUGUAAAUAAAAACAGACUAGUCUGCAACA